This 460-nucleotide ribosomal RNA is filed under the name uncultured bacterium. Its description in RNAcentral is "partial 16S ribosomal RNA". It matches the Rfam family "Bacterial small subunit ribosomal RNA", at positions 338 to 795 of the family's 1533-position model. The record is from RNAcentral.
CCUACGGGAGACAGCAGUGAGGAAUAUUGGUCAAUGGGCGGGAGCCUGAACCAGCCAAGUCGCGUGAGGGAAGACGGUCCUAUGGAUUGUAAACCUCUUUAGUCGGGGAGCAAUGCCGGGCACGCGUGCCCGGAGGGAGAGUACCCGCAGACUAAGCCUCGGCUAACUCCGUGCCAGCAGCCGCGGUAAUACGGAGGAUGCGAGCGUUAUCCGGAUUUAGUGGGUUUAAAGGGUGCGUAGGCGGAUUUUUAAGUCAGCGGUAAAAUGUCCGGGCUCAACCCGGGCCGGCCGUUGAAACUGGGGAUCUUGAGUGGGCGAGAAGUAUGCGGAAUGCGUGGUGUAGCGGUGAAAUGCAUAGAUAUCACGCAGAACUCCGAUUGCGAAGGCAGCAUACCGGCGCCCGACUGACGCUGAGGCACGAAAGCGUGGGGAUCGAACAGGAUUAGAUACCCUUGUAGUC